Phyllopteryx taeniolatus (common seadragon) is the source of this 559-nucleotide long non-coding RNA. RefSeq lists it as uncharacterized. The record is from RefSeq and is a predicted model, not a curated record. NCBI's taxonomy places the organism in Eukaryota, Metazoa, Chordata, Actinopteri, Syngnathiformes, Syngnathidae. The transcript has 3 exons.
AGUGAUGCCAGAGGUGGUUUUCUACCAACCUCUCUAAUGGCCUCCUCACUGGCUUGGCUGACCGACUUGCUGCUUCUCAGACAGCCUUAUUUGGUAGUAGGGAAGUACUGAGGGGGGUGGCAGCAGGGUAGUGCAAAGAGGAAGAGUGGUGCUCUGUUUACAUGGAGGGUCAGGGGGUCAAAGCUCCAGUGUGGCAUGGAAUAAACCAAGAACACUUAAAAGACAGAAAGAGAGCAGUCUCUCAGCAUCCUCAGUGGGCAUCAUUACCUCAUUGGUCAACAUUCUAAUGGGCCACAGGGGUCAGGUUGGUGCUUGCUGGCCAAUCAACAUCAACCAACAGCCUGGCUAGAAAGCAAUCCUCUGGUGCACUGACUGCAGGCCAGUAGAGGGUAGGUACAGUGCUCCCUCCGUGUCCCCCGCCGAGAUGACUUCUUCCACCACGGCGCCAAGCAUCCGCCUGCUCUCGCCACCGCCUGCCACAGGUUCCCUGCCUCUACCACCCGCCAGCACGUCUCAAGGAUCAUCUCCAUUUCCUCUUUCAAUAAACCUUUCAUUACAA